RNAcentral lists this ribosomal RNA (430 nucleotides) under uncultured bacterium. RNAcentral's name for it is "partial 16S ribosomal RNA". It matches the Rfam family "Bacterial small subunit ribosomal RNA", at positions 338 to 795 of the family's 1533-position model. The record is from RNAcentral.
CCUACGGGGGGCUGCAGUAACGAAUCUUCCGCAAUGCACGCAAGUGUGACGGAGCGACGCCGCGUGUGGGACGAAGUUCUUCGGAAUGUAAACCACUGUCAGGGGCCACCGGGGCCCCAGAGGAAGGCACGGCUAACUCUGUGCCAGCAGCCGCGGUAAUACAGAGGUGCCGAGCGUUAGGCGGAAUCACUGGGCUUAAAGCGUGUGUAGGCGGACCGGUAAGUACCUUGUGAAAUCCCACGGCUCAACCGUGGAACUGCUGGGUAUACUGCCGGUCUUGAGCGACUUAGGGGCAGACGGAACAAGUGGUGGAGCGGUGAAAUGCGUAGAUAUCACUUGGAACGCCGACGGUGAAAACAGUCUGCUGGGAGUCGCUGACGCUGAGACACGAAAGCCAGGGGAGCGAACGGGAUUAGAUACCCUUGUAGUC